This 1131-nucleotide long non-coding RNA is filed under the name Homo sapiens (human). Its description in RNAcentral is "HSALNT0401707". Lineage: Eukaryota; Metazoa; Chordata; Mammalia; Primates; Hominidae. The record is from RNAcentral.
CUGACCUCGUGAUCCGCCUGCCUCGGCCUCCCAAAGUGCUGGGAUUACAGGCGUGAGCCACCGCGCCCGGCCGCUGCUUUAAGUUCUUAACACGUCCUCACCGCGGCUCAGCUCACUGAAACUGAAAAUUCACACAGCAGCCGUGGGAGUCAGAGUAGCAAAGGCUUUGAGAUCACAUAGACCUGGGACACGUGCUUGCUUUGUGAUUACGGGUGCGGGGACUGCUUGCCAACCCAUGGCAACUCACCUGUAGCGCAUGGAGAUUUGGGGGUAAACCCAGUGAUGCUGAGUAUGUGGGCUGCCCAAGCUGGGUGGCAACCAACCCCAGCAUUGAAUGUGCUGAGAGCUGGACCGGUGGAUGUCCCCACUGCCCUGAGGCAGGUCCAGGAGAAGGCUCCUACCUGCUGUGCAGAGGGCAAGCCCCAAGUCAAGACUCCCAAAAUGUUACCAGAUGUCAGGCAUGAAAUAUACACCCCUGGCAAGCUCUGCCAUGCACAGGAGUCAUGCUGCUUUCAAUCCACGGGAGAGCCGGACACGAGCGUUCCAAGGCAGGAGCAGAACUCCAUGUUGGCCAUUAUAAAGACAAGAUUCCUUUUCCCCCGCUUUUUAUAGCCUCUCUGGGUAAGAUGUGUCUGGAAGGAGGUGUGGGCCAGGAAAGAGCAUAUGUCUGAUGCCUGGGAUUCCAGGACAGAAAGUACAGCCGACUCCAAGCUCUUGGGAUGGGAUUGGAGGGUCUCAAAACCUUGCCAGCUUUGGAGUCAGAGAGAAAAGAGUCCCAACCCCAGAUUUAUCAUUUGCUAACAAAUGUGACCUUGGGCAAAUCAGCUCACCUCUCUGGCCCUCAACAGAGAUAAUCCUGGGACCUAUUUCACAGUCAUGGAGAGGAUUAAAUGGGAAGAGGAAUAAAAGGAGUUUGGAGAAGUGCCCAGGACAUAGUAUGCACUGAGCAAAUUCCGUAGUAAGAGGAGUAUUAGUAAUAGCUACUAUUGAUUAGGUGGUGUUGUGAGUUGAACAGUGUUCCCCCAAAAUUCAUGUCCACCCAGAGACACAGAAUGUGACCAUUUGUGGAAAUAGGGUCUUUGCAAAUGUAAUUAGUUAAGAUGAGGUCAUACUAGAUUAGGGUAGGCCCUA